GGUAACCAACUAGUUAUAGACCAGAGACCACCCCUAUCUCCCAUUAAUGUGGGAUUUGUGUAACAUUCUCCCCCUCUUGUUUGUGCAUGCCUCAUUGCACCAGCUCCGUACUCAUGAAGGCGAAGGACCCACCACGUUCUAGAUCUACAUCGAUCUUGGUGUCUCUCAUGAGAGCUCAAAUGAGUGAAGAGUAGAGUUGGCUCUGAUACCACUUGUUACGGGUUAGGUCUCCAUCCCAAAAGGCUAACCCAUUAGGAGGUAACCAACCCAUUUAUAAAUCUAAGACCUCCCCAAUCUCCACCAAUGUGAGGCUUCUGUAAUGCUUAG
Molecule: unclassified non-coding RNA, 327 nt
Filed under: Hevea brasiliensis (rubber tree)
Lineage: Eukaryota; Viridiplantae; Streptophyta; Magnoliopsida; Malpighiales; Euphorbiaceae
Source: RNAcentral